Tricladium varicosporioides is the source of this 101-nucleotide non-coding RNA. NCBI's taxonomy places the organism in Eukaryota, Fungi, Ascomycota, Leotiomycetes, Helotiales, Tricladiaceae. The record is from the annotation of a GenBank genome assembly.
GGUCGGGUGGUGUAGUUGGUUAUCACAUCUCGUUAACAUCUUGUUAAUAAAACACAUUCAAUGUGCCGAGAAGGUCCUGGGAUCGAGCCCCAGCCUGAUCA